GGGGUCUUAAUUUAAGUAAUAAAAUAUAUGAUUUGCAUUCAUAAAAUUUUGACUCUAU
RNAcentral lists this transfer RNA (58 nucleotides) under Trichostrongylus vitrinus. RNAcentral's name for it is "tRNA-Ala". The record is from RNAcentral. Lineage: Eukaryota; Metazoa; Nematoda; Chromadorea; Rhabditida; Trichostrongylidae.